UGGGGCCUACGGGACGCAGCAGUGGGGAAUAUUGCACAAUGGGGGGAACCCUGAUGCAGCGACGCCGCGUGAGUGAAGAAGUAUUUCGGUAUGUAAAGCUCUAUCAGCAGGGAAGAAAAUGACGGUACCUGACUAAGAAGCCCCGGCUAACUACGUGCCAGCAGCCGCGGUAAUACGUAGGGGGCAAGCGUUAUCCGGAUUUAGUGGGUGUAACGGGAGCGUAGACGGCAGAGCAAGUCUGAAGUGA
RNAcentral lists this ribosomal RNA (247 nucleotides) under uncultured bacterium. RNAcentral's name for it is "partial 16S ribosomal RNA". It matches the Rfam family "Bacterial small subunit ribosomal RNA", at positions 333 to 597 of the family's 1533-position model. The record is from RNAcentral.